This 468-nucleotide ribosomal RNA is filed under the name uncultured bacterium. RNAcentral describes it as "partial 16S ribosomal RNA". It matches the Rfam family "Bacterial small subunit ribosomal RNA", at positions 28 to 507 of the family's 1533-position model. The record is from RNAcentral.
GACGAACGCUGGCGGCGUGCUUAACACAUGCAAGUCGAACGGACAGGCCCUGCUUUUGUUGGGUACUCGAGUGGCUAACGGUUGAGUAACACUUGAUUACCCUUCCCUUGCCUUUGGGAUAACUUCAGGUAACUGGGGCUAAUACCGGAUAGUAGCUCCUGCUGCAUGUUUUUGCUUGGAAAGUUUCGGCGGUUUGGGAUGGACUCGCGGCUUAUCAGCUUGUUGGUGGGGUAGUGGCUUACCAAGGCUUUGACGGGUCGCCGGCCUGAGAGGGUGACCGGCCACAGAGGGACUGAGAUACGGCCCAGAGGGAUACGGGAGGCAGCAGUGGGGAAUAGUGCAAAAAGGGCGGAAUGCGGAAGCAGCAACGCCGGGUGCGGGAGGACGGCCGUAGGGGUGGAAACCGUGUGCGCCUGUGAAGAAGAGUGAGUGACGGUAAUGUGUAAAGAAGCAACGGCUAACUACGUG